GGCGCGGUAGCUCAGCUGGUUAGAGCGUGUGAUUCAUAAUCACAAGGUCGGCGGUUCAAGCCCGCCUCGCGCUACAA
RNAcentral lists this transfer RNA (77 nucleotides) under Saprospiraceae bacterium. RNAcentral describes it as "tRNA-Met". It matches the Rfam family "tRNA". From Rfam's summary of the family: Transfer RNA (tRNA) molecules are approximately 80 nucleotides in length. Their secondary structure includes four short double-helical elements and three loops (D, anti-codon, and T loops). Further hydrogen bonds mediate the characteristic L-shaped molecular structure. tRNAs have two regions of fundamental functional importance: the anti-codon, which is responsible for specific mRNA codon recognition, and the 3' end, to which the tRNAs corresponding amino acid is attached (by aminoacyl-tRNA synthetases). tRNAs cope with the degeneracy of the genetic code in two manners: having more than one tRNA (with a specific anti-codon) for a particular amino acid; and 'wobble' base-pairing, i.e. permitting non-standard base-pairing at the 3rd anti-codon position. The record is from RNAcentral. Lineage: Bacteria; Pseudomonadati; Bacteroidota; Saprospiria; Saprospirales; Saprospiraceae.